UAGUAAUUAUGUUUCUAUCGAAAAGCCCGAUAAUUUCUACAAGGUCACACUUCGUUUAAAGCCGAGUUAGUCAUUUUUUUCAAUCAAGUACAAAUGCGAGGUUUAUUUCACGACUAGAAUAUUCCGAUGAGGAAGGAAGAAUCACAGUUUUAUUCGACCGCGCUAGACGAGAAUUAGCUAAAUCUAUUAAUGAGGAUUAAUAGUAGAAUUCCCAAUUAUCGCUCAAAAGAUUAGUUCAUGCAUACCAGAUUCAUGCAUAGUUAAUUACGCUUUCUCAUUAAUUGAGAAUUUUCCUCGAGGCAAUGUCUUAUUUUACAUUCUCAUGAUUAAGGUCAAGCGCGAGAGUAAGAACUAUUCAAGAAGUCACAGUACCUUAGCAAAACUUUGCUAUCAGGUUGAGUUGUGAUGGGCGAUGAAGUGUUGCUGAGUGGAGUUUUUGUUGAACUUAAAGUAGGCUCAGAAAGGAUAUAUGUCUUCAUACAUGUAUCUCAGUUAUGCAUUCCGCUGUAAACACUGAUUAUUUCAGUUACACCUUCCGUUGCAAACUCUGAUAAUGUUUUAGCCAAGCCCCUAACGAUGCCUUUUUCCUUUUAAGGAAUAUAACGCGUAUACAAGUUCUUUGAGUA
Molecule: long non-coding RNA, 626 nt
Organism: Salvia miltiorrhiza (redroot sage)
Lineage: Eukaryota; Viridiplantae; Streptophyta; Magnoliopsida; Lamiales; Lamiaceae
Exons: 2
Source: RefSeq, a predicted model, not a curated record